UGGUUUUGUUUUUUAUUGUUAAUUGUGCAGCGAAAUUGUGAUAGUAAAUUAAAUAUAAAGUUGUUUAUAGCCUACAGAACUGAAUUAUCCCAUAGUAAUUAUCAGUUUGUGUCAAUUUGUUUGUGUGUAAAAAAGAAAAAACACUUUUCCUUGUGUUUGACCGACUUGUAGCAAGGGCUUUCUUGAGAAGCCUGUAAAUUGCGGGAAUAGGACAGACAGGGAUAAAAUCCUCACUUUUUACUGUUCCCAAGGCUAUACAUUUCCCCCAUGCAAUACAUUUAAAUGAAUUUUAUCCAAACAAAGGCAGGAACAUUGGAUAAAAGCAAUAAAGAGAACAGACCACAAAUUAAAAUAUGACAGUAUGCAGUAAACAUUUAAUAAGUGGAAUAAACACCAGCUAUUUUAAAUGUAGGAAAAGGAGAAACUGCUGGAACCUAAUUUUACACAAAUGUUUUUGACUAUUGAAGAUUUGGAUAAACAACAGAAGUUACUUUGGGCUAUAGCUAUGUGCAGAUUUAUUUCCUUGUGGAUUACUAUGUUUAUUCUUUUUAACUAUACUUCCUAUAUUGUUUGUGAGAUUAAUAUUAUAUUUAAUUGAUUAUAUUAAUAUUUUGUAAUAAUAAUCAAUGCUUUGGUUUAACAAAAUAGACAACUUAGAAUAGAACAA
This is a long non-coding RNA of Diabrotica virgifera virgifera (western corn rootworm), 667 nucleotides long. RefSeq lists it as uncharacterized. Lineage: Eukaryota; Metazoa; Arthropoda; Insecta; Coleoptera; Chrysomelidae. The record is from RefSeq and is a predicted model, not a curated record. The transcript has 2 exons.